GAAACUGGGCAGAAGAGAAGAGA
RNAcentral lists this non-coding RNA (23 nucleotides) under Cricetulus griseus (Chinese hamster). Lineage: Eukaryota; Metazoa; Chordata; Mammalia; Rodentia; Cricetidae. The record is from RNAcentral.